Rhipicephalus sanguineus (brown dog tick) is the source of this 526-nucleotide long non-coding RNA. RefSeq lists it as uncharacterized. The record is from RefSeq and is a predicted model, not a curated record. Lineage: Eukaryota; Metazoa; Arthropoda; Arachnida; Ixodida; Ixodidae. The transcript is spliced from 3 exons.
GGCUGAAGUUGCCGAUCUUUUCUCCACCUGGGACCCCAUUGAAGUAGUGAUGGGGAAAAGUGAUUCUUCUGGUCUAGGAUCAUAUCCGCACGCCUAUGUGACAGUGGCCGACAGAGACACCGCAGAGACUGCUGCGCUAAACCUGAACGACACCUACUUCAAUGGCCGGAUAAUUGCAGUUGUGCCACUGCCUAAAAAUUGCAAAAAAGCACCUUGAGGCUCGCCCAGGCCUGCUUUCUUCUUCUUGCCUCUUGCCAUCAAGCCAUGUAAGGGGCUCUGGGAAAAUUUCGUUAUGUUUCUACGACUUGUGUGUCUGAUGUUGUGACUGUGUAAAAGACAUUCCAAAGUUCCUCACUACCAUCUUCAUGGUCUCGACAAAGCUGAUGCAAGACUGUGUUGUUACGUCUCACCUUGCUGCUAAAUUGCAGGUUGGUUUGUUGUGUUUUACACUUUUGUUGGAAGGACAUUGCAAGGUAGCAUUGUUUCUUCUUGAAGUACAGUAGCUUGUAUGGGCAGGGUUUCCAGU